This 420-nucleotide ribosomal RNA is filed under the name uncultured archaeon. RNAcentral's name for it is "partial 16S ribosomal RNA". It matches the Rfam family "Archaeal small subunit ribosomal RNA", at positions 323 to 746 of the family's 1478-position model. The record is from RNAcentral.
CUACGGGCCGCAGCAGUUAGGAAUAAUCUACAAUGCACGAAAGUGUGAUAGUUUGAGCCAGAGUGCCUUACAUUGUAAGGCUUUUGUGGAGUGUAAAAAGCUCCACGAAUAAGGACUGGGUAAGACUAGUGCCAGCCGCCGCGGUAAUACUAGCGGUCCAAGUCGCAGCCAUUUUUAUUGGGUCUAAAACAUCCGUAGCUUGCUAUGUAAGUUUCUUGUGAAAUUUUGUGUCUUAAGCAUGAAGCGUGCAAGAAAUACUGCGUAGCUAGGGACUGGAAGACGUAACGAGUACGUUCAAGGUAUUAGUGAAAUGAGUUAAUCUUGAACGGACUAACAAUAGCGAAGGCACGUUACGAGGACAGAUCUGACAGUAAGGGAUGAAGGCUAGGGGCGCAAAACGGAUUAGAUACCCGAGUAGUC